GACGAACGCUGGCGGCGCGCUUAACACAUGCAAGUCGAACGGAAAGGCCUGCUUUCCCUUGUGGAUUGCGGGUACUCGAGUGGCGAACGGGUGAGUAACACGUGAGUGAUCUGCCCCCAACUUGGGUAUAAGCCUGGGAAACUGGGUCUAAUUCCCGAUAGGACUGCAGGGUGGUGCCUGUGGUGGAAAACGAUUUUCUAGUGGUUGGGGAUGAGCUCGCGGCCUAUCAGCUUGUUGGUGGGGUAAUGGCCUACCAAGGCGGCGACGGGUAGCCGGCCUGGGAGGGUGGGCGGGCCCAUUUGGACUGGGAGACCGGCCCGACUCCUACGGGAGGCAGCAGUGGGGAAUAUUGCACAAUGGGCGGAAGCCUGAUGCAGCGACGCCGCGUGGGGGAUGACGGCCUUCGGGUUGUAAACUCCUUUCGACCGCGAGGAAGCCACCUGGUUGGAAGGGUGGUGACGGUAGUGGUAGAAGAAGCACCGGCUAACUACGUG
This 494-nucleotide ribosomal RNA is filed under the name uncultured bacterium. RNAcentral describes it as "partial 16S ribosomal RNA". It matches the Rfam family "Bacterial small subunit ribosomal RNA", at positions 28 to 507 of the family's 1533-position model. The record is from RNAcentral.